UACGUAGGUGGUAAGCGUUAUCCGGAAUUAUUGAGCGUAAAGAGCGCCCAGGUGGUUGAGAAAGUCUGAUGUGAAAGCCCACGGCUUAACCGUGGAGGGUCAUUAGAAACUGCUCAACUUGAGUGCAGAAGAGGGAAGUGGAAUUCCAUGUGUAGCGGUGAAAUGCGUAGAGAUAUGGAGGAACACCAGUGGCGAAGGCGGCUUCCUGGUCUGUAACUGACACUGAGGCGCGAAAGCGUGGGGAGCAAACAGG
Molecule: ribosomal RNA, 253 nt
Filed under: uncultured bacterium
Lineage: Bacteria
Description: partial 16S ribosomal RNA
Rfam family: Bacterial small subunit ribosomal RNA
Source: RNAcentral